RNAcentral lists this transfer RNA (61 nucleotides) under Glomeridesmus spelaeus. Its description in RNAcentral is "tRNA-Cys". The record is from RNAcentral. Lineage: Eukaryota; Metazoa; Arthropoda; Diplopoda; Glomeridesmida; Glomeridesmidae.
AAUUUUAUAGUUUAUUUAGAAUAGUAAAUUGCAAAUUUAUAGGAACUGGUUGUUAAAAUUU